AGUGCUAAACAUCAUAUAUAUAUAUAUACACACACACACAUCAUACAUACACCACAUAUAUAUAUAUUAUAGAAUUGUAAACAUGAAAUCAAACAUCAACCAUAAAAUUACAUAUAUACACGUCAAUGCAUGUUAUCCGCACAACCAUACAGUGUUUACAUGUCGUUUCGCUUCAGAUUUAGACCUGCUAUGUCUAUCCGCACUUUAAAUUUAUCACUUGCUAAAUCGCCCUCAUGAUCAAAAUAUGCACCGUCACUUGGAAUUAUUUCUCUCAUAAUAAAACCACACAAGUCUGCUACUAUAUCUUCCAGAGUCUAUGGUGUAAAGGGCACGUCCUUUCCUUGCUUUUUUGGCUAGAAACAAAGUUUAAAAGUAUGAUUGACACAUGUUCAAUAUAUAAUUUUGCAACUUUAAUGAGAAAACUUCAUACAUAGAUAUUAUUUACGAUAUUUUUGUCCCUGACGUAACGUCCCCGCUGCCUUAUAAACUCACAGACAUAGUACCCACAAUAGACCGAUCCAGGUGGUUGCUUGUGGCACUAUAUGAUGAGCAACGGAUUAUUCUAAAUUUGCCAUGCUUUAUGUAUUAUUUAUAUGAUGAAAUGUGUUCGGACAACUUACCGGAUAGUGGUGUUGUAUCAUCAAUGGCACCCUAGGAUCUGAGCGUGCGGCGUCGACCGGUCCCUUUUGUUUCUUAUAAAACCGCCAUGCACAGAUAUCGAAUAUAAAUCACUAAAGUUAUUUUGAAACUGGUCCCUUGUGGAAAUCUAUUCCUUCCUCUGUCUCCUCUUGCCCGAUCACUCUUUUUUGUUUUACUUCUUGGCUCAGAGGAUGUCCCAGUCGUUUGAGGUGCUGUGUCCUUCUGAACAUCUUGUUCUUCUGCCUCCAUUUCGGCAACAAUUUGAGAUAACACCUCCUCUCCAUUCAAUUGUUAGGUACAUACAUAUAUACACAUGCAUUCUAUUGUAUAGACACUACUACAAUAUAUACCUCAUCAUCAUCUGGAUCAGCUUGAGGCUCGUAUGUCGGGUCAUGUUCCAACUCUAGACGAGCCUUCUUAGCUCUGGGGGAUUCACGUAGUGAUACGCUCGGGCUUCUAUAAGUGUCGGAUCCAGAGGUGUCGGAUCGCGGUGUUUCUAUCUGGGCUUCAGCAUUCGAUGGAGUACUCAUCUAAUUAAACAAAUAAUUUAUAAACAAUUAACUUACAAACUCUAAUUAACAAACCCUAAUUAACACUAGCGGACAUCCUGGAAACCCUACUCAACAAAUAACUAACAACUAAUUAAUAAAUAAAUAACUAACAAAUAAAUAACCCUAAUUAAAAAUCCUACUUAACAAUUAAUUAAUUAAUCAAUAAUUAGUAAAUAAAUAAAUAAUUAACAAUUAAUUAACUAGCUAACCCUAAUUAAGAAACCCUACUUAUCUAAUUAAUAACUAACAAAUAAUUAACCCUAAUUAAAAACUAAUUAAUAACUUAACAAAUAAAUAACUAAUUAAUAACUAACAAAUAAAUAACUAAUUAAUAACUAACAAAUAAAUAACUUAACAAAAAAUUAAUUAAUCAAUAAUUAAUAAGUAAAUAAAUAAUUAACAAAUAAAUAAUUUAUAAAUAAUUAUUAAUUAAUUAACAAAAAAAAUAAAAAAAAAGACAGCCAGGGCGUCCUGCCAGCCCAACAGGGCCCGGCAAGCCAGCUGCGUGGCUGCUGCCGGCGCUGGGAGUGGUGGCGGCGCGCACUACUGCUCACGGCUACUUCUUGCUCGCAGCAUUGUGGCUAGCGG
RNAcentral lists this long non-coding RNA (1778 nucleotides) under Sorghum bicolor (sorghum). RNAcentral describes it as "long non-coding RNA (SBIC_LNC008290)". The record is from RNAcentral. Lineage: Eukaryota; Viridiplantae; Streptophyta; Magnoliopsida; Poales; Poaceae.